Molecule: ribosomal RNA, 211 nt
Filed under: uncultured bacterium
Lineage: Bacteria
Description: partial 16S ribosomal RNA
Rfam family: Bacterial small subunit ribosomal RNA
Source: RNAcentral
GACGAACGCUGGCGGCGUGCUUAAUACAUGCAAGUCGAGCGGUAAGGCCCUUUCGGGGUACGACGAGCGACGAACGGGUAGGAGUAACAACGUGGGUGGACCUCGCCCUCCAGCUCUGGGAGUAAAGACCUCGGGAAACGUAGGGUCGUAAUAACUGGAUAUGACUCCACGGUGCAUGUCGUGGGGUGGAAAGCCUUGUGCGGCUGAGGAU